Molecule: long non-coding RNA, 124 nt
Filed under: Oncorhynchus kisutch (coho salmon)
Lineage: Eukaryota; Metazoa; Chordata; Actinopteri; Salmoniformes; Salmonidae
Description: lncRNA (ENSOKIG00005029430.1)
Source: RNAcentral
GGUGUACUGGUAGAGCAAGGCAGGGUGUAUACAGGGUGUACUGGUAGAGCAAGGCAGGGUGUAUACAGGCUAUAUACAGGGGUGUACUGGUAGAGCAAGGCAGGGUGUAUACAGGGUGUACUGG